Molecule: long non-coding RNA, 851 nt
Filed under: Portunus trituberculatus (swimming crab)
Lineage: Eukaryota; Metazoa; Arthropoda; Malacostraca; Decapoda; Portunidae
Description: uncharacterized LOC123502294, transcript variant X1
Source: RNAcentral
CACCGACCCUCGAGUGUACGCAGCCCAGUGUCCGUCUGUGUCUUGUCGUGGGCGUGACGUUCAGCAGCGGCAGGAACAGCAACGGGAAGCUUGAUCUGCGUGGGUCUUCGUGCGGCGAGGUGACGUGCCGCUGCUGUGAGGUUAUCGGACCACACCACAGCACAGCACAGCACAGAGGAGGAGAGGCGUUGACGAUCCAAAGGCCUGACUCCACAGCGGUAAUGAGCCUCGUCUACCUUGCACUUUGACGGACAACGCUCACUACCAACACUUCUAGAAGCCUCCGCCGUAAGAUUGCAUCGCGCACACGGUCUACUCUUAACGACCGCCACCGCCGCUGCCGCCGUUGAGGGAGACUGGCUGGAUGAGUGGGUGAUAGAGGCGAGGCAGGUGUGGUGAGGCGGAGGAUUGGAGACGAGAACCUACAGAUGACGGCAGACACGGAAGAUUCCACUAACCAGGAGUUGGUGAUCCGAAGCCGUGACUGCAGCGAUCCCGUGCGUCCUGCACCAUCAAGGGAAGGACUCUCUGGCUUCGCACUGCGCCUACAUUGACCGUUGCCGCCGCCGCUGCUACCGCUACUCGGAGGGGCACUGCCUCGCAUUGGGCCUUCACUGCCGUCCCGCUAAUACACGUGUCGCCGUCGCAGCUACUGGCACUGAGGGACUUCGCCUCGCAGCGGCCUGGCAAACACCUGCUACACCACCACCACUAACUCCACCACCGCAGUCCAGAGAUUCAGCUUCGCAUAGCAGACAUCCUCCUAUUCAACGCUUGCUGCCACUACCACCUCAUUAUGGUGGUGUCACUGUACUUGGAUCUGUUGUCACUACUGAAUAAUAAUGUGUAAA